RNAcentral lists this ribosomal RNA (117 nucleotides) under uncultured bacterium. RNAcentral's name for it is "partial 16S ribosomal RNA". It matches the Rfam family "Bacterial small subunit ribosomal RNA", at positions 1383 to 1500 of the family's 1533-position model. The record is from RNAcentral.
GUACACACCGCCCGUCACACCAUGAGAGUUGGGAAUACCCGAAGCCUGUGAGCUAACUUAUAGAGGCAGCAGUCGAAGGUAGAAUCAAUGAUUGGGGUGAAGUCGUAACAAGGUACC